RNAcentral lists this ribosomal RNA (253 nucleotides) under uncultured bacterium. Its description in RNAcentral is "partial 16S ribosomal RNA". It matches the Rfam family "Bacterial small subunit ribosomal RNA", at positions 524 to 776 of the family's 1533-position model. The record is from RNAcentral.
UACGAGGGGGGCAAGUGUUGUUCGGAAUUACUGGGCGUAAAGGGAGCGUAGUCGGGCUCUUAAGUUGGAUGUUUAAAACCGGGGCCUAACCCCGGCGUGGCAUCCAAAACUGGGAGUCUUGAAUGGGACAGAGGCCAGUGGAAUUAGAGGUGUAGCGGUGGAAUGCGUAGAUAUCUCUAAGAACACCAGUUGCGAAGGCGGCUGGCUGGGUCCACAUUGACGCUGAGGCUCGAAAGCGUGGGGAGCAAACAGG